MicroRNA precursor from Cricetulus griseus (Chinese hamster), 73 nucleotides. The record is from Ensembl. NCBI's taxonomy places the organism in Eukaryota, Metazoa, Chordata, Mammalia, Rodentia, Cricetidae.
GGCAGUUGUGAGCUGCAUGUGGGUGCUGGGAAUCAAACUCAGGUCCUCUGCAAGUGCUUUUAACUGCUGAGCC